GGAGUCUGGGCCGUGUCUCAGUCCCAAUGUGGCCGUUCAUCCUCUCAGACCGGCUACUGAUCGUCGCUUUGGUGGGCCGUUACCCCGCCAACUGGCUAAUCAGACGCAGGCCCAUCUUUCUGCGAUAGCUUACAAGUAGAGGCCAUCUUUGGUAUCUUUCCCAUGCGGGAAACAUACGUCAUUCGGUAUUAGCACCCCUUUCGGGAUGUUGUCCCCAUCAGAAAGGCAGGUUGCCUACGCGUUACUCACCCGUUUGCCACUAGGUCCUCUCAUUCAGCAAGCUGAUCAAAAGAACCCCGUCCGACUUGCAUGUGUUAAGCACGCCGCCAGCGUCGUCCUCGAGCCACUGAUCAAACUACU
This 360-nucleotide ribosomal RNA is filed under the name uncultured Veillonellaceae bacterium. RNAcentral's name for it is "partial 16S ribosomal RNA". The record is from RNAcentral. Lineage: Bacteria; Bacillati; Bacillota; Negativicutes; Veillonellales; Veillonellaceae.